GUUUUGACUAUUAUGCAAUUUCUCUUUUAUUUCUUUCAGAAAAUGGAAGAUUUCUCCUUAAAAGACAAGGAGAGAGAAAUAUGCCAAAAAUGAGAAUAGGGAGUAGAGGCUAAAACCAAAAUUAGUAUUCAGAAAUUUCAAAUGAUGCUGAAAUUCCCAGAGGGAAGUAUUUAUUUAUAUAAGUAUAUUCGGUUAAUUAUUUAUAGAAAUAAAACUCAGGAAAAUUCCACUCUCACUGUUUUUAUCUGCGUACACUGUCCCUAGAGGGCUUGUAUGUGGGUUUCCAUUCUCAGAAUCAGAAAGUCCCUGUUUGUUCUUGUCCUUGUUAUCAUUUUAUUUUAAAAUAAAAUUUGUGAGAGUAGUGAUCACACUAAUUUUUCUCUGUGUUUAGAAGGCCCGCUAUUUUAAAGACUGAUUAUUCAUAUUUUUAAAAAUCACAUUUUUUUCAUAUAUAUAUGAAAGACAUAAAUUUGGAAUGCUUUAAUAAAGUUCAAAAGUCAGGAUAUGUGCUCAUUAGGCUGACAUCAUCAGCUGAAAUGACGCCAUUCACAUCCAAGACUUAAUGCACUUGCUGUCGAUGUUUGAUGUAUGCCAGGCACAACCUUAUUCUCCACAAAAAGCCAAGGAAAGACCCAAGUAAUAACAAACUCAGAGAAUGGGAAGCAAGAAAAGGAGAGCAUGAAGUACACAGAUGAUAACAAAUAAUCCAGAAUUAUCAAGUCAAGAUCAAGGCCAAAACCAGCAAGGUCCAUAGACUCCCUAUCACUGGAUGAUCAAAGCAGGUGUUCUACUAGAGAGAAGAUAAAAAUGUGGUCUGUUGUGUUUUAUAUGCAUUUUGAUUCUGCUUUUUUGAAUGAGCAGCUUAUUCUAGAGAGUCUAUUUCUGUAUUGUUUCACUCACCACUGCAGGAUUGUGUGCAGCAUUCGGCAGGGACAGAGGACACUAAUAUCAAUGCCAAGGAAGUCACUGCAGGAACAAUGAUCUGAGGAGACCCAACAGUUUUAAGGCAAGUCUUUGAAGGGCCCCUCUGUGUGGAAGCCUCAGAUCUGAUUUGACUGGUUUGCUGCAACCCUGAUGAGUUGAGAUUCUUUGAAGUGAGAGGUCUGCAACUUAACUCUUCCUGAUAACUUUUUCCUCUGACCAACUUUCUUAUCUUAUUGUGGCAAUGAAGAUAAAUCCAGUUUAGUUUGUUUUGAGGAGCAAUAACAGCACUCCCUACUUCAUCUCCUCUACACACAAAUUUACACAGCCUUUCUAAAGAUGCAUACCUGGGCAACUCGAGAUAAAACUUUCCCCUUUCAUCUAAUCCUUUGUGCUUGUAUAAUAAAUAAAUCUUGUAGGAAAAAACUGAAAGCUUCAAAUGUUGAUAAGCCAGUAACAUUCCUCUUUUAGCCACCUCUGAAUUUUAAUAAAUUUAAUUUUAAUAAACUAGCAGACUAUCUUUGCUAGCAACACUUUGUAUUUCCAUAUUUAAAGAGCAUCAUAAUGGAAAUUGAUUUAUUAAAAACAAUUCCAAGCAUACAGCAUCUGAUGCUAUUUAUCAUAACAAU
RNAcentral lists this long non-coding RNA (1550 nucleotides) under Homo sapiens (human). RNAcentral's name for it is "HSALNT0313316". Lineage: Eukaryota; Metazoa; Chordata; Mammalia; Primates; Hominidae. The record is from RNAcentral.